Molecule: unclassified non-coding RNA, 214 nt
Filed under: Hevea brasiliensis (rubber tree)
Lineage: Eukaryota; Viridiplantae; Streptophyta; Magnoliopsida; Malpighiales; Euphorbiaceae
Source: RNAcentral
CUCUUGACUCGGUAAGACUCUCAUCGCAUCGUGAAGAAGUGCACUAGAGGACCAUAGCAACCUUUCCAUAAAACAAACUACUAAUACUAGUAGGGAAGAAGCAAAUUGGUUGAAGCAGCAUUAGAGAACCAAAACACAACUAGGUAUGUUUGAAAAAAGGGUCCCCUAUGGAAGAGUAACCAUAGAGAAUCAGGAAGUCCAGCUGGAACCCAUG